This 395-nucleotide ribosomal RNA is filed under the name uncultured bacterium. RNAcentral describes it as "partial 16S ribosomal RNA". It matches the Rfam family "Bacterial small subunit ribosomal RNA", at positions 523 to 918 of the family's 1533-position model. The record is from RNAcentral.
AUACGUAGGGUGCAAGCGUUAAUCGGAAUUACUGGGCGUAAAGCGUGCGCAGGCGGAUUUGUAAGACAGUGGUGAAAUCCCCGGGCCCAACCUGGGAACUGCCAUUGUGACUGCAAGGCUGGCGGGCGGCAGAGGGGGAUGGAAUUCCCCGUGUAGCAGUGAAAUGCGUAGAUAUGCGGAGGAACACCGAUGGCGAAGGCAAUCCCCUGGGCCUGCACUGACGCUCAUGCACGAAAGCGUGGGGAGCAAACAGGAUUAGAUACCCUGGUAGUCCACGCCCUAAACGAUGUCAACUGGUUGUUGGGGAUUUAUUUUCUCAGUAACGAAGCUAACGCGUGAAGUUGACCGCCUGGGGAGUACGGCCGCAAGGUUAAAACUCAAAUGAAUUGGCGGGG